Diceros bicornis minor is the source of this 107-nucleotide small nuclear RNA. The record is from RefSeq and is a predicted model, not a curated record. Lineage: Eukaryota; Metazoa; Chordata; Mammalia; Perissodactyla; Rhinocerotidae.
GUGCUCGUUUAGACAGCACAUAUACUAAACUUGGGAGAUACAGCAAAGAUAAGCAGGGCCCCUGCUGCAAGGAUGACACGCAAAUUCAGGACAUGUUCCUUUUUUUA